GAAAAAUUAUAUAAUUUAAGAUACAUUGGUACGUGUAGUGGUACGCGGUAUCACCAUAAUACUAAAACCUUACUGUAAAUUAUUUAAGACACCACACAGCAAUAAAUACUAAUGUAAAACAAAAUAAAAAUGUCUUCAUAGUUUUUAUUCAAAAGUAAUUUAUAGUUCCAAAUGUUUUGUCAACGAUACAUAAAGUUUAUGAUAUUUAGUUAUAUGCUAAAGUAAAAGAAAAGAGGGAAAUGUUAGCAAUUUUUAGAUAAUUUUGGUAUAUAGUAGAUAAAAGUGUUAACCUAGUUUUUCUAAGUAAAAUAAAAACAAUUGUAUUAUUUAAUAUCUUAAACUAGUUAUAAAUAAUGAAAAAAUAAAAGACAUUAUGAUCAAUAAUGAAUUAAAAACUUUUAUUGUUUACUGAAAAGUAGUGAUUAUUCACUUAUUAACUUUCCUACUGUCUACAAAAUAUUUCUAAUGUAACUUUUAAUAACUAUAACAAAACAUAAAUGGCUUAACAUCUAUUAUUAGAUAAAUUGAUACAAGAACUUAGUUGUAUCUCUUAUUUGUCUAUCACAUUAAUUGUUUUUAUAAUUAACAACUAAAUAAAAAGUAGUUCUUUUGAAAAUUAAAUACUUCAUAAUUAUAAAAAUGCGUAAAAACACUAUAUGAAGCAACAAAAAUUAAAUUUUUUUAUGUAUGUAAAUCACCAAAACAUGGACUUGCAACAUUAAUAAAUUUAGUUAAGGGGGACGAAGUGGCCGAGUGGAUAAUGCGUCGGUUGCAAUGCGCACCAUUGAUGGUUCGAACCUCAAUCACGUUGGCACUUUUCUCUGGGCAGUCAUGGUGUCUGGAGAGAGUGGCCUCUACCCCCCCCCCCCCCCCGGGCAUGGCAGAAACCUACGAGUGCCCACUAGAAAUUAUGCCAAAAACAAAACACACUUGUUAAAAACCUAUCAUACCAAACCCUACCACUACCACAAUUACCCUACUAACAGCUAAUGGCCAUAGUUCCCGGACUUAAAAAAAAAAAAAUUUAGUUAACCCUUGAAUAAUAUAUUCAGUAGUUAUAAAUAUAUUAUUUCAAGUUGAGUAAUUACUAAUUACUAAUUGCAAACAGAUGUGUUCUAAUCAUGAAGAGCCAAUUAAAAUGUGUUGUACAGAUAUUAAUGAAAACUAGCAGUAAUUAAUAAUAAUAAUAUACUAAUAAGGAAAUUUAAGCAAAUAACAUAACUAUUUCCUUUAAUAUACAGUAUGCUCACCAAUUUAAGAAACACUCAAAUAUUGCGCUGGUUAUGCAGUUGAACUGAACAAAGAAUUUUUUAAGAAUUUAGGAGUAACCUAAAUCCACAUUUCUAAGAAUACAUCAUAUUGUCACCUCUCAGUAUAUGAGCAUAAACUUAUAUAUUUUAGAACAGCAAAAGCAUUUAAAAAUAUAAUUUUCAGGUGGCUAUUUUUUUCAAGCAAUUUUGACUUAACAACUAUGGCACUAAAAUUUAAAUUGAACGAGUCAAGCAAAAUGCGUGUCUACGGGGGAGGCAGGGUGGGCACCGGCCUCCCCAGCGACGUUCUUGGCCUCUUGGAUUAUAAUGGUGAAACCACGAAUAUAAUAGAAUAUAUUAUAGAUUAUAUUUAUAAGUAUAGUAUAUCCGUGGCUGAAGCAGUAAUUGAUCGAUAAGAAAUGUUAUCAAUGUCAAUAAAGUUUUCGUCUAUAGAUUGGUUACGUAAUAAUCACGGACUAUAUUAUAGUGACUAUAAUAUUAUAGUCUAUAAUCGGUAUUUAAAUCGUAGUUUUGUAAUUUGUUAUUUUGUCUAUGUUCUAUGUUGGGUUAACUGUUUGUGUUCAAUGUUUCAAAAUUGUUAUUAUGUAUAUUAGGUAAAUAAAUAUUGUAAUUUUUUACUUUUGUAGUAACCAUUAAUCAAUAAACUUUAUUACUAAUUAGUUACAUUAGUUAUACCUAACUGAUAAUAUUUGUGUUGAUCAAUGUUGUAUAUUUAUGUUUGUAUAUAAUAUACUUCAUAUUAUUUAAA
Molecule: long non-coding RNA, 2019 nt
Organism: Myzus persicae (green peach aphid)
Lineage: Eukaryota; Metazoa; Arthropoda; Insecta; Hemiptera; Aphididae
Exons: 2
Source: RefSeq, a predicted model, not a curated record